CCUACGGGGGGCAGCAGUGGGGAAUAUUGGACAAUGGGGGCAACCCUGAUCCAGCCAUGCCGCGUGUGUGAAGAAGGCCCUCGGGUUGUAAAGCACUUUCAGUGAGGAAGAACGCCUGGUGGUUAAUACCCAUCAGGAAAGACAUCACUCACAGAAGAAGCACCGGCUAACUCCGUGCCAGCAGCCGCGGUAAUACGGAGGGUGCGAGCGUUAAUCGGAAUUACUGGGCGUAAAGCGCGCGUAGGUGGCUUGAUGAGCCGGUUGUGAAAGCCCCGGGCUCAACCUGGGAACGGCAUCCGGAACUGUCAAGCUAGAGUGCAGGAGAGGAAGGUAGAAUUCCCGGUGUAGCGGUGAAAUGCGUAGAGAUCGGGAGGAAUACCAGUGGCGAAGGCGGCCUUCUGGACUGACACUGACACUGAGGUGCGAAAGCGUGGGUAGCAAACAGGAUUAGAUACUCCUGUAGUC
Molecule: ribosomal RNA, 465 nt
Filed under: Vreelandella stevensii
Lineage: Bacteria; Pseudomonadati; Pseudomonadota; Gammaproteobacteria; Oceanospirillales; Halomonadaceae
Description: partial 16S ribosomal RNA
Rfam family: Bacterial small subunit ribosomal RNA
Source: RNAcentral